Molecule: long non-coding RNA, 1510 nt
Organism: Astatotilapia calliptera (eastern happy)
Lineage: Eukaryota; Metazoa; Chordata; Actinopteri; Cichliformes; Cichlidae
Source: Ensembl
CACAGUCACAAGGAAACACACCCUUCACUCGUGCGCCGGUGCCUCCAGUGUCAGAAGACAGUGUUUAACAGAGGCGAUUUACAAGACCUGAACAACUCUACCUACAGACGUGAUCUGUGAUUUUCAACACAAAGCCCUCACAUCUCAUGAGACUGGUUGCAUUAUGAGAGCUCGCUACCUGUUCCUAUUGGUUUACCUACUGGGGAGCUCCUUUGCAGGAUCCAGUGCACAGAGUAAUGGAGUAUGCACAAAAGAUGCCUGCACACAGGUCCCAGACGCCACCUCGAACUUCUUACAGUGUGUGGGCCUGCCUUCGACAGACACGGGCGCAGAUGAAAUGCGAAAGCUGAAAGGAAUUCUUGAAGCCACAAUGGAUGUGUACACGUUUAUGAAAUCAAGCAUGACAAGAGGACCAAUUUUGAGUGUGGAGGGCGCUCUGGAAUUAGACUUGACUGCAGACGCUCUACAAAAUCAAGAUCUGGUCAGGAUGUGGUUGGAGGUCAACAUGAAACCGCUCCUGAAAUCCAUCACCAAGCAGUUCUUGUCCUGUCUCAGCACCAGGAACUUCAGCUGCUCCACCUACCAGACUGUAGUGGAGGAGCUCAGUCAACACUAUUCUGAGAUGGAUCCAGUCAGGCAAAAGUGGAUCUACACAUUCUUUAUGUACCCGUUCCUGUCUUCGGCAACAGUUGAUGGCUGUGUGAGGCCAGAUGAGGGCAGUGUGGAGUGGCUGAUGAAGAACUUUGGUGCCUUCAGUGUCAUGGCCCGCUUGAAGGACUUUUCAGAGCUCAAUGAGGUCUUCAAUGGACUGGAGGUUCUUAACUUGUUGUCUCCAGCACAAAAGGCCGAGCUGCUCAUGAGCCCUUAUGUUGCCAGUUUAGACAAUGGCACAUUAGCCUUGGUCUUCCACAGUCUGCUAACAGGGGAAUCUGGCCCAUCACCCACUGCUGGCCCUGGAUGGGGCCCCAACUGGACAACCCCUGGGUACCCACCCUCCUAUCCAGUACAGCUGUCACAUCAGCCAGGCCUCCAACAGGUCGUAAAUGGAUUCAUGUCAGCCUUCAAACCCAUCGGGAGCUUUGUUCAUAAUUUUGUGUCCUUCACACGUGAGAGAAAUCCGUCAAAUAUAAGAAGCACCACUUUGACCCAGUUCCUGCUCAACUGGACUCUUUCUGAGCUGGCUGGCAAAUACCAGCCAAGCGCACCUGAGGUCCCAGAGGGACCUAACUUUGAUGUGACAAAUGUAGUAGACUGGUAUCAUUACGUUGUGAAGCCGCUGUUACGGAGGUUUUUGCCCGAUGAAGAACUCCUGAUGCAUGAAAACAUCACGCUCGCUUUCCACGAAGUGUUCCGUCUGGACAACAGUAUGGACAACAUGACGGUGAUUGAAAUCCAGGAUGUCUGUAGCAUCACCCUCGAUAAGAGCCCUUGCGGGCUGACCGACGCGGUGGCAAACGUGGCUCAUGUCUUGCACUGCGCUGCUCGUAACAACCUGACCAUGACAGAAGCC